UCUGAUGUACUGUAGGGGGACCUCAAGCACAAUCACUGAACAUCAUACAGUACAGAGACACUCCCUGCUGUAACCGUUCAUAUCUGUAGCGUCACACCUCCAUCACACUGACUGACAGUGACUCUGGUCUCCAACUUCAUUUUGUUCAGAGCACAAUCAUGAUCACAGCUGGUCUGAUCGAACUCUCUGCAGCUCUGCUCUGGAUUGUAGGUCUAACUGAUGGGAGUGAUGUCAUCCAGGCCCCUCUGCUGUGGAGGGUGGAGGGUCAGUCUGCCACAAUGAACUGCAGCCACACUAAGGACAUCUCAUACCGAACGAUGUACUGGUACAGACAGCUGCCAGGAGAGGGAAUGAGGCAAAUAGUUUACACGACUCCAAAUCCUCCACAUGCAUAUGAAAGUGGCUUCAGUGUGGACAAAUUUCCUGCAACAAAGAGCGACGCUCACACUGGAUCUCUGACAGUGGAGAAGCUGCUGCCUGGGGACAGGGGAGUGUAUUUCUGUGCUGUGAGUGAACACAGUGAUGCAGGAGACUUAGACAGCUGCAUAAAUACUCAUGUGAAUAGAAGAGAGCUGUUUCUUUGGUGCACUACAGAGGGAGCUCUGGACUAA
Molecule: non-coding RNA, 611 nt
Organism: Anarrhichthys ocellatus (wolf-eel)
Lineage: Eukaryota; Metazoa; Chordata; Actinopteri; Perciformes; Anarhichadidae
Source: the annotation of a RefSeq genome assembly